RNAcentral lists this ribosomal RNA (497 nucleotides) under uncultured bacterium. RNAcentral's name for it is "partial 16S ribosomal RNA". It matches the Rfam family "Bacterial small subunit ribosomal RNA", at positions 28 to 507 of the family's 1533-position model. The record is from RNAcentral.
GAUGAACGCUGGCGGCGUGCCUAAUACAUGCAAGUCGAGCGAGCGGACGAGAAGCUUGCUUCUCUGAUGUUAGCGGCGGACGGGUGAGUAACACGUGGAUAACCUACCUAUAAGACUGGGAUAACUUCGGGAAACCGGAGCUAAUACCGGAUAAUAUUUUGAACCGCAUGGUUCAAAAGUGAAAGACGGUCUUGCUGUCACUUAUAGAUGGAUCUGCGCUGCAUUAGCUAGUUGGUAAGGUAACGGCUUACCAAGGCAACGAUGCAUAGCCGACCUGAGAGAGUGAUCGGCCACACUGGAACUGAGACACGGUCCAGACUCCUACGGGAGGCAGCAGUAGGGAAUCUUCCGCAAUGGGCGAAAGCCUGACGGAGCAACGCCGCGUGAGUGAUGAAGGUCUUCGGAUCGUAAAACUCUGUUAUUAGGGAAGAACAUAUGUGUAAGUAACUGUGCACAUCUUGACGGUACCUAAUCAGAAAGCCACGGCUAACUACGUG